Molecule: transfer-messenger RNA, 344 nt
Filed under: Candidatus Wolfebacteria bacterium
Lineage: Bacteria; Candidatus Wolfeibacteriota
Also listed under: 1 other name
Rfam family: transfer-messenger RNA
About the family: Bacterial tmRNA, also known as 10Sa RNA or SsrA, is named for its dual tRNA and mRNA-like properties. Its role is to liberate the mRNA from a stalled ribosome.
Source: RNAcentral
GGGGAUGACGGGAUUUGACGGGAAAGGAGAUGCGCGCGUGCGGGGUCGGGCCUGGGUGUCACCCGCCAACGACAUUCAUCUCAUUAACUGCCAACGACAACGUUGCGGUUCGCCUGCCCGCUUUCGCGUUCGCGUAAAGUCGGCUGGCCAUCGGCCACCCCUUGCUUUCCGGGGGUAAACGCCGGUGUUAUAUAGGAAAGAUAAGCUGCUUACGGGUCUAGCCCUUGCCGGUUAGCAGACGAAAACCGAUUUGGGCUUUUCGCCAGUUUUUAACUGGCUACGCUCCGUAGGGCGCGCGCGUCUACCUCUUCCGCACGAGGGUUCGACUCCCUCCAUCUCCACCA